This 391-nucleotide ribosomal RNA is filed under the name uncultured bacterium. Its description in RNAcentral is "bacterial SSU rRNA". It matches the Rfam family "Bacterial small subunit ribosomal RNA", at positions 28 to 413 of the family's 1533-position model. The record is from RNAcentral.
GAUGAACGCUGGCGGCGUGCCUAACACAUGCAAGUCGAACGUUAGCCCAAUCUUCGGAAAGGGUGAAAGUGGCGAACGGGUGAGUAACACGUUGGUGACCUGCCCUGAAGCGGGGGACGAACUCCUCGAAGAGGAGCUAAUACCCACGAUGUCUAGUCUGUUAGAGGGGCGUAGACUAAAGACUUAGGCGCUUUGGGUAGGGGGCCGUGCGGGCGUAUCAGCUUGUUGGUGGGGUGAUGGCCUACCAAGGCGACGACGGGUAGGCCGGCCUGAGAGGGCGACCGGCCACACUGGGACUGAGACACGGCCCAGACUCCUACGGGAGGCAGCAGUGGGGAAUCUUGCGCAAUGGGCGAAAGCCUGACGCAGCGACGCCGCGUGAGGGAUGACG